AGCGAACGCUGGCGGCAGGCUUAACACAUGCAAGUCGAGCGCCCCGCAAGGGGAGCGGCAGACGGGAGAGUAACACGUGGGAACAUACCUUUUGGUUCGGAACAACUGAGGGAAACUUCAGCUAAUACCGGAUAAGCCCUUACGGGGAAAGAUUUAUCUCCGAAAGAUUGGCCCGCGUCUGAUUAGCUAGUUGGUGAGGUAACGGCUCACCAAGGCGACGAUCAGUAGCUGGUCUGAGAGUAUGAUCAGCCUCACUGGGACUGAGACACGGCCCAGACUCCUACGGGAGGCAGGAGUGGGGAAUAUUGGACAAUGGGGGCAACCCUGAUCCAGCCAUGACGCGUGAGUGAUGAAGGCCUUAGGGUUGUAAAGCUCUUUUGCCCGGGAAGAUAAUGACGGUACCGGGAGAAUAAGCCCCGGCUAACUUCGUG
RNAcentral lists this ribosomal RNA (431 nucleotides) under uncultured bacterium. RNAcentral's name for it is "partial 16S ribosomal RNA". It matches the Rfam family "Bacterial small subunit ribosomal RNA", at positions 29 to 507 of the family's 1533-position model. The record is from RNAcentral.